UACGUAGGUGGCAAGCGUUGUCCGGAUUUACUGGGCGUAAAGAGCGCGCAGGCGGUCGUGCAAGUCGCGUGUGAAAGCCCCCGGCUCAACUGGGGAGGGUCACGCGAUACUGCUCGACUUGAAGGCAGGAGAGGGAAGUGGAAUUCCCGGUGUAGUGGUGAAUGCGUAGAUAUCAGGAGGGACACCGGUGGUGUAGACGGCUUUCUGGACCGACACUGACGCUGAAACACGAAAGCGUGGGUAGCAAACAGG
This 252-nucleotide ribosomal RNA is filed under the name uncultured bacterium. RNAcentral's name for it is "partial 16S ribosomal RNA". It matches the Rfam family "Bacterial small subunit ribosomal RNA", at positions 524 to 776 of the family's 1533-position model. The record is from RNAcentral.